GCCUACGGCCAUACUUAGGCGAAAACACCAGUUCCCCGUCCGAUCACUACAGUUAAGUGAAAAUGUCUGAGGGUCUCGUUCGUACUAUGGUUGGAGACAACAUAGGAAUCCGGGGUACUGUAGGCU
This 126-nucleotide ribosomal RNA is filed under the name Schizosaccharomyces cryophilus OY26. The record is from RNAcentral. Lineage: Eukaryota; Fungi; Ascomycota; Schizosaccharomycetes; Schizosaccharomycetales; Schizosaccharomycetaceae.